RNAcentral lists this ribosomal RNA (377 nucleotides) under Enterobacter sp. JC56. RNAcentral describes it as "bacterial SSU rRNA". It matches the Rfam family "Bacterial small subunit ribosomal RNA", at positions 1002 to 1378 of the family's 1533-position model. Lineage: Bacteria; Pseudomonadati; Pseudomonadota; Gammaproteobacteria; Enterobacterales; Enterobacteriaceae. The record is from RNAcentral.
AGAGAUGCUUUGGUGCCUUCGGGAACUCUGAGACAGGUGCUGCAUGGCUGUCGUCAGCUCGUGUUGUGAAAUGUUGGGUUAAGUCCCGCAACGAGCGCAACCCUUAUCCUUUGUUGCCAGCGGUUCGGCCGGGAACUCAAAGGAGACUGCCAGUGAUAAACUGGAGGAAGGUGGGGAUGACGUCAAGUCAUCAUGGCCCUUACGAGUAGGGCUACACACGUGCUACAAUGGCGCAUACAAAGAGAAGCGACCUCGCGAGAGCAAGCGGACCUCAUAAAGUGCGUCGUAGUCCGGAUUGGAGUCUGCAACUCGACUCCAUGAAGUCGGAAUCGCUAGUAAUCGUAGAUCAGAAUGCUACGGUGAAUACGUUCCCGGGU